CCUACGGGUGGCAGCAGUGAGGAAUAUUGGUCAAUGGACGAGAGUCUGAACCAGCCAAGUAGCGUGAAGGAUGACUGCCCUCUGGUUUGUAAACUUCUUUUAUAUGGGAAUAAAAUGUUCAGCGUGUGGGAUUUUGUAUGUACCAUAUGAGUAAGGAUCGGCUAACUCCGUGCCAGCAGCCGCGGUAAUACGGAGGAUCCGAGCGUUAUCCGGAUUUAUUGGGUUUAACGGGAGCGUAGGCGGAUUGUUAAGUCAGUUGUGAAAGUUUGCGGCUCAACCGUAAAAUUGCAGUUGAUACUGGCAGUCUUGAGUAUCGUAGAGGGGGGUAGAAUUCGAGGUGUAGCGGUGAAAUGCUUAGAUAUCACGAAGAACUCCGAUUGCGAAGGCAGUUCACUGGACUGCAACUGACACUGAGGUUCGAAAGUGUGGGUAUCAAACAGGAUUAGAUACCCCUGUAGUC
Molecule: ribosomal RNA, 460 nt
Filed under: uncultured bacterium
Lineage: Bacteria
Description: partial 16S ribosomal RNA
Rfam family: Bacterial small subunit ribosomal RNA
Source: RNAcentral